UACGGAGGGGGCAAUCGUUGCUCGGAAUUACUGGGCGUAAAGGGCGCGUAGGCGGGAUGGCCAGUCGGUCGUGAAAUCCUUCGGCUCAACCGAAGAACGUCGAUCGAUACUGCUGUUCUUGAGGGUUGCAGAGGAGACUGGAAUUCCCGGUGUAGCGGUGAAAUGUGUAGAGAUCGGGAGGAACACCGGUGGCGAAGGCGGGUCGCUGGGCAAUUCCUGACGCUGAGGCGCGAAAGCGUGGGGAGCAAACGGG
This 253-nucleotide ribosomal RNA is filed under the name uncultured bacterium. Its description in RNAcentral is "partial 16S ribosomal RNA". It matches the Rfam family "Bacterial small subunit ribosomal RNA", at positions 524 to 776 of the family's 1533-position model. The record is from RNAcentral.